GCAUUGGUGGUGUAGUAGUUAGCAUAGCUGCCUUCUAAGCAGUUGACCCGGGUUCGAUUCCCAGCCAAUGCU
Molecule: non-coding RNA, 72 nt
Organism: Brienomyrus brachyistius
Lineage: Eukaryota; Metazoa; Chordata; Actinopteri; Osteoglossiformes; Mormyridae
Source: the annotation of a RefSeq genome assembly